Long non-coding RNA from Elgaria multicarinata webbii, 598 nucleotides. RefSeq lists it as uncharacterized. The transcript is spliced from 6 exons. NCBI's taxonomy places the organism in Eukaryota, Metazoa, Chordata, Lepidosauria, Squamata, Anguidae. The record is from RefSeq and is a predicted model, not a curated record.
UUUUCGCCUGGACGUUCGGAGCAGGGAAUGAUGGAACUAAAAACUGUUCUUCCUGCUACAAUGAAAACUAUGAUUAUGAAAACAACCACAUGUCUAGAAAAGUGUCCAGUGGAUAAGAAUGGAUGUUCCUGAGUACAUAUUUUUUUUUGGUUAGCAGCUGGAAUCCAGUCAGCAGUUGGGAUGGAUUUGGCCCAAGACCUCUUAAUUCCAAACCUACAUCAAGCCAGUGGAAUGCCUUGGAUUGCGAUGUGAAGAAGCCCUUGGACUGAAGACUGAGCCCCAUUAUGAUAUCUACUGAAAAAGCAGAGUGUUAAGAAGUCAAAUGGGAACAUGAUCUGAAGCCUUCCUGUGUGAAGUCGCAUCCUGCAUGAGUUCAAAUCAGCCUCUACUUUUGGGGGAAAUCAGUUUGGGAAUUAGCAAUGUAAUAAAUGUUUAAAACUUCAUUGCAAUUAAUAUGUACAUCUAGUGAUUUCAAGUUUGCCUUAAAUAUACCGUCAAAUAACUCCUUCAGGAGGGGUCAUAAUCAUGGUACUGUGUUCUGAGGCAGCUCUUGAGUUUCUUUAGUAUUGUAUGCAUCAAAAUAAAGUUUUAAAAGAUU